AUACUUACCUGGCCGGGGAGAUACCAUGAUCACGAAGGUGGUUUCCCCAAGGCGAGGCUUAUCCAUUGCACUCCAGAUGUGCUGACCCCUGCGAUUUCCCCAAAUGUGGGAAACUCCACUGCAUAAUUUGUUGUAGUGGGGGACUGCAUUUGUGCUUUCCUCUU
This 164-nucleotide small nuclear RNA is filed under the name Tupaia belangeri (northern tree shrew). Its description in RNAcentral is "U1 spliceosomal RNA (ENSTBEG00000019457.1)". It matches the Rfam family "U1 spliceosomal RNA". From Rfam's summary of the family: U1 is a small nuclear RNA (snRNA) component of the spliceosome (involved in pre-mRNA splicing). Its 5' end forms complementary base pairs with the 5' splice junction, thus defining the 5' donor site of an intron. There are significant differences in sequence and secondary structure between metazoan and yeast U1 snRNAs, the latter being much longer (568 nucleotides as compared to 164 nucleotides in human). The record is from RNAcentral. Lineage: Eukaryota; Metazoa; Chordata; Mammalia; Scandentia; Tupaiidae.